RNAcentral lists this long non-coding RNA (233 nucleotides) under Elaeis guineensis (African oil palm). Its description in RNAcentral is "long non-coding RNA (EGUI_LNC001260)". The record is from RNAcentral. Lineage: Eukaryota; Viridiplantae; Streptophyta; Magnoliopsida; Arecales; Arecaceae.
GUUGAGCGAUCGCAAGUUCAAAUAUUGCUCGAGCACGCUCUAUCUCACUUAAUGAUAUUUUCAAUUCGGCAUAUUUAUUCAAAGCACAAUAAAGUGUUGCUUAAUAACAUUAAAGUAUCGGUUUGACGUAAUAAAGUAUCGAUUAAUAAGAUUAAAAUAUUAUUUAAUACUAGUACUGUAUUGUGACGAGCAUACCAUACUUUCAUAUAAUAAUGAUAUAUCCGGAGCCCCCC